This 1396-nucleotide ribosomal RNA is filed under the name uncultured archaeon. Its description in RNAcentral is "bacterial SSU rRNA". It matches the Rfam family "Archaeal small subunit ribosomal RNA". The record is from RNAcentral.
CCAGACUGCUAUUGGGAUUCGACUAAGCCAUGUGAGUUUUCCGCGAGGAAGCGAACUGCUGAGUAACACGUGGGUAAUCUGCCUUAAGGUGGGGUAUAACCUCGAGAAAUUGAGGAUAAUCCCCCAUAGACUUUGGAUACUGGAAUGUUCCAAAGUCAAAAGCUUCGGCGCCUUAAGAUGAGCCCGCGACUGAUCAGGCUGUUGGUGGGGUAAUGGCCCACCAAACCAUUGACCAGUAGGGGCAGUGAAAGCUGGAGCCCCCAGUUGGGUACUGAGACACGGACUCAGGCCCUACGGGGCGCAGCAGGCGCGAAACCUCCGCAAUGCACGCAAGUGUGACGGGGGAGUCCCAAGUGCUCUUGGAUUUUUCCAAGAGCUUUUUCCAAGUGUAAAUAGCUUGGCGAAUAAGAGCUGGGUAAGACGGGUGCCAGCAGCAGCGGUAAUACCCGCGGCUCGAGUUGUCUGGGUUUUUAUUGGGUCUAAAGCGUCCGUAGCCGGACUAAUAAGUUUCUUGUGAAAUCUAACAGCUUAACUGUUAGGCGUGCAGGGGAUACUAUUAGUCUUGAGACCGGGAUGGGCCAAAGGUACUCUUGGGGUAGGGGUGAAAUCCAAUAAUCCUGAGGGGACCACCUGUGGCGAAGGCGUUUGGCUAAAACGGGUCUGACGGUGAGGGACGAAAGCCAGGGGAGCGAACGGGAUUAGAUAUCCCCGGUAGUCUUGGCCGUAAAUGAUGCGGACUAGGUGUUACGUACCCUUUUUGGGUAUGUGGUGCCGUAGGGAAGCCGAUAAGUCCGCCACCUGGGAAGUACGAUCGCAAGGUUGAAACUUAAAGGAAUUGACGGGGGAGCACAACAAGGGGUGGAGCCUGCGGUUUAAUUGGAUUCAACGCCGGAAAUCUCACUGGGAGCGACAGUAGAAUGAAGGCCAGGUUGAUGGUCUUGCUAGACUUACUGAGAGGUGGUGCAUGGCCGCCGUCAGUUCGUGCCUUGAGGUGUUCGGUUAAGUCCGACAACGAACAAGACCCGCGCCCUUAGUUGCCAGUUAUUCCUCCGGGAAUGACGCACUCUAAGGGGACCGCUGCUGAUGAAGCAGAGGAGGGCGCGGUCAACGGUAGGUCAGUAUGCCCCGAAUCUCCCAGGCUACACGCGGGCUACAGUGGUUGAGACAAUGGGUUGCGACACCGAAAGGUGGAGCUAAUCUCCAAACUCAAUCCCAGUUCGGAUCGAGGAUUGUAACUCAUCCUCGUGAAGCCGGAAUCCCUAGUAAUCAGAGUUCACUAUACUCUGGUGAAUCUGUCCCUGCUCCUUGUACACACCGCCCGUCAAAUCACCUGAAUUGGGCAUGGAUGAGGCUUCGUCUUAUGGCGAUGUCGAACUUGAGCUCAGUAAGGGGGGUU